Molecule: ribosomal RNA, 300 nt
Filed under: uncultured Halobellus sp.
Lineage: Archaea; Methanobacteriati; Methanobacteriota; Halobacteria; Halobacteriales; Haloferacaceae
Description: bacterial SSU rRNA
Rfam family: Bacterial small subunit ribosomal RNA
Source: RNAcentral
UCUAACUCCAUGCAAGAGGCCGGGGUAGUACGGAGGGUGCAAGCGGUAAUGGGAAUUACUGGGCGGAAAGCGUGGGCAUGCGGCUUAUUAAGUCAGAUGUGAAAUCCCGAGGCUCAACCUAGGAACUGCAUUUGAAACUAAUAAACUAGAGUAUCGUAGAGGGAGGUAGAAUUCCAGGUGUAGCGGUGAAAUGCGUAGAUAUCUGGAGGAAUACCAGUGGCGAAGGCGACCUCCUGGACGAAAACUGACGCUCAAGCACGAAAGCAUGGGGAGCAAACAGGAUUAGAUACCCGUGUAGUC